Molecule: ribosomal RNA, 796 nt
Filed under: uncultured bacterium
Lineage: Bacteria
Description: bacterial SSU rRNA
Rfam family: Bacterial small subunit ribosomal RNA
Source: RNAcentral
AUCGAACUUCGAAUCUCGAGGAUAGUGGCGGACGGGUGAGUAACGCGUGGGCAAUCUGCCCGUAGGUGGGGGAUAACACCGUGAAAACGGUGCUAAUACCGCAUAACAUUAUUGGUAUGCAUGUACUGAUAAUCAAAGGAGAAAUCCGCUUACGGAUGAGCCCGCGUCUGAUUAGCUAGUUGGUAGGGUAACGGCCUACCAAGGCGACGAUCAGUAGCCGGCCUGAGAGGGUGACCGGCCACACUGGAACUGAGACACGGUCCAGACUCCUACGGGAGGCAGCAGUGGGGAAUCUUCCGCAAUGGGCGAAAGCCUGACGGAGCAACGCCGCGUGAGUGAUGAAGGCCUUCGGGUUGUAAAACUCUGUCUUCAGGGAAGAAAAAAAUGACGGUACCUGAGGAGGAAGCCACGGCUAACUACGUGCCAGCAGCCGCGGUAAUACGUAGGUGGCAAGCGUUGUCCGGAAUUACUGGGCGUAAAGAGCGCGUAGGCGGGGAUUUAAGUCAGGAGUGAAAACUACCGGCUCAACCGGUAGCCUGCUCUUGAAACUGAAUUUCUUGAGGGUAUGAGAGGAAAGCGGAAUUCCCAGUGUAGCGGUGAAAUGCGUAGAUAUUGGGAGGAACACCAGUGGCGAAGGCGGCUUUCUGGCAUACAACUGACGCUGAGGCGCGAAAGCGUGGGGAGCAAACGGGAUUAGAUACCCCGGUAGUCCACGCCGUAAACGAUGGGCACUAGGUGUAGGAGGUAUCGACCCCUUCUGUGCCGUAGUUAACACAAUAAGUGCCCCGCCUGGAGA